Molecule: long non-coding RNA, 1920 nt
Organism: Mustela lutreola (European mink)
Lineage: Eukaryota; Metazoa; Chordata; Mammalia; Carnivora; Mustelidae
Exons: 4
Source: RefSeq, a predicted model, not a curated record
GGAGGCAGGCAGAGAGAGAGGAGGAAGCAGGCUUGCUGUAGAGCAGAAAGCCUGAUGUGGGACUCGAUUCCAGGACUCUGGGAUCACGACCUGAGCUGAAGGCAAAGGCUUUAACCCACUGAGCCACCCAGGCACCCCUCUUCUUACCCUCUUUAAUGGCUUUAUUCUUUUUCUUUUUGUUUUGCUCCAGCAGGGUACUGGAACCUUUCAGCUGGAUUCCUGGACUCCUACAAAGUGGCUGGAACUUCAAGUAUAGGGUAAAUAAAAUUGCUUAAGAUCUUCCUUGGUCUUGACAAAGAGCACAAACAGUCAGAGUGGCAGGCCGAGGCAGAGAGAGAGAAGCAGGAUCCCCGUUGAACAAGGAGCCUGGUGUGGGACUCGAUCCCAUGACUCUGGGAUCAUGACCUGAGCCGAAGGCAGUGGCUUAACUGAACGAGUCACCCAGGUGUCCCCCAAAUGUAGUAUGUUUUAUAACUUUUAUCCUUAAUAUUUUUCAUGUUUGUGACCCAGGGAACAUUUUCUAGUUUCCACAAUAAAUUACAAUAUUAGGUGGAUAAAGUACCCACUUCAGUAACAUUGUUUUGUUUUAUUUUAUGUUAUUUUAUUUUAUAAACAUAUAUUUUUAUCCCCAGGGGUACAGGUCUGUGAAUCACCAGGUUUACACACUUCACAGCACUCACCAAAGCACAUACCCUCCCCAAUGUCCAUAACCCCACCCCCUUCUCCCAAACCCCCUCCCCCCAGCAACCCUCAGUUUGUUUUGUGAGAUUAAGAGUCACUUAUGGUUUGUCUCCCUCCCAAUCCCAUCUUGUUUCAUUUAUUCUUCUCCUACCCACUUAAGCCCCCAUGUUGCAUCUCCACUUCCUCAUAUCAGGGAGAUCAUAUGAUAGUUGUCUUUCUCUGCUUGACUUAUUUCGCUAAGCAUGAUACUCUCUAGUUCCAUCCAUGUUGUCGCAAAUGGCAAGAUUUCAUUUCUUUUGAUGGCUGCAUAGUAUUCCAUUGUGUUAUUUUAUUUUAAAGAUUGAUUUUAUUUGAGAGAGAGAGAGAGAGAGAGAGAGAGAAAGAGAGACUGUGUGCACAAGCAGGGGGAGGGGCAGAAGGAGAGGGAGAAGCAGGUUCCCUGCUCAGGGAACCUGAUGGAAUGUAGAACUCCAACUCAGGACUUGAGGAUCAUGGCCUGAGUAGAAAAGGCAGAUCCUUAACCAACUGAGUGAUGGGAGCAACUCAAAUAAUGUGAACAAGUCAGUAGUCAAUAUUACAGUGCUGUCACACAUUCUUUGACUUAACAAAUGGCUUAUUACACGCUAAAGAGAACUUUUAAAAAAUUCCCUGGGUUAACACAAAAAUUAAGUUGAAUAUACAUAUGUUUCUAAAAUAAUAAACUUCAAAAUUUUUAUAAUGCAAUUCAGGUAUUCUUGUAGACAAGUUAGAAUGUAAGAAUAACCAAAAAGAAAAAUAGGGUUGCCUGGGUGGCUCAGUGGGUUAAGCCUCUGCCUUCGGCUCAGGUCACGAUCUCAGGGUCCUGGGAUUGAGCCCCACAUCAGGCUUUCUGCUCAGCAAGAAGCCUGCUUCUCCCCCUCUCUCUCUGCUUGCCUCUGCCUACUUGUGAUCUCUGUCUGUCAUAUAAAUAAAUAAAAUCUUAAAAAAAAUAAACAGCACUCCUAAUGUUACCUUUUAAAGCACUUACUUAUUGUUAAUAUUUGGUAUACAUAUAUGUCUCAUAUAUAUAUAUGUAUAUAUAUAUAUAUAUAUAUAUAUAUGCCAAACUAUACACUUUUUUCCCCAAGCAUUUGUCCUAACCUUAUAUGUAUAAUUAUAUACAUAUCUGGAAUGAUAAAUGUAUGAUGAAUGAUAAUGAUAAAUAUUAGACAUCUGACCCAAUAUAUUAGAUAUAUCACAUAUCUGACUCAAAAAAAUUUG